GCCAGAAAUUAGAAACAGACUAGAUGUCCACCAACUAAUGAAACACACAAUGGAAUGCUAUUCAGAUGUAAAGAAAAAUGAAGUUAUAAUAUUUUCAGAAAAGCCUUUUGCUUCUGGGAUUCUCUGCAGUGCUGCGGCUGAGCAUCUUCAGUAUUAUCGCUUAAGUCUUUUUCCUUUGCCUCGCAUGUUUAAGAGUCGUUCGGACGUGCCAUCCAUGAGAAGUGCUGCAUUUACACUUUGAAAGUUACAGCAUGGGAGUAGGAUACAGACAAAUGUGUUUCUUCCUUUUAAAAACGAGCCCGAAGUUUUAUUUGUUCAUUCCUUGCAUACGAAGUGGUCUUUGGCAA
Long non-coding RNA from Mastomys coucha (southern multimammate mouse), 347 nucleotides. RefSeq lists it as uncharacterized. NCBI's taxonomy places the organism in Eukaryota, Metazoa, Chordata, Mammalia, Rodentia, Muridae. The transcript has 2 exons. The record is from RefSeq and is a predicted model, not a curated record.